Molecule: ribosomal RNA, 253 nt
Filed under: uncultured bacterium
Lineage: Bacteria
Description: partial 16S ribosomal RNA
Rfam family: Bacterial small subunit ribosomal RNA
Source: RNAcentral
GACGAGCUCUCCAAACGUUAUUCGGUAUUACUGGGCUUAAAGAGUUCGUAGGCGGUCUUGUAGGUGAGGUGUGAAAGCCCUCGGCUUAACCGAGGAAUUGCGCUUCAAACCGCGAGGCUUGAGGGAGGUAGGGGUAUGCGGAACAGAUGGUGGAGCGGUGAAAUGCGUUGAUAUCAUCUGGAACACCGGUGGCGAAAGCGGCAUACUGGACCUUUUCUGACGCUGAGGAACGAAAGCUAGGGUAGCGAACGGG